Molecule: non-coding RNA, 220 nt
Organism: Cinara cedri
Lineage: Eukaryota; Metazoa; Arthropoda; Insecta; Hemiptera; Aphididae
Source: the annotation of a GenBank genome assembly
UGGUAGCAUAUGAUACGAAAAUUUAAUAUAAAAAAAAAAAAACAUUUAAUACAUGCAUACUGUAUUUAGUCAGAAUCAUAUAUAAUGUAUACAAUUAAUGUGAAUUAAGUGAAUUAUUUAUAGCACUGUUGAGGGUAACUGUACAUUUAUAUGUCGUUUAUAUGUUAUUUUAAUAUAUCUAAAAAAUAUUAUCUUGAUAAUCUUACAAAUAUUCUCAUAA